UGCCGGCGAGCGGCGGACGGGUGAGUAAUGUCUGGGAAACUGCCUGAUGGAGGGGGAUAACUACUGGAAACGGUAGCUAAUACCGCAUGACCUCGCAAGAGCAAAGUGGGGGACCUUCGGGCCUCACGCCAUCGGAUGUGCCCAGAUGGGAUUAGCUAGUAGGUGGGGUAAUGGCUCACCUAGGCGACGAUCCCUAGCUGGUCUGAGAGGAUGACCAGCCACACUGGAACUGAGACACGGUCCAGACUCCUACGGGAGGCAGCAGUGGGGAAUAUUGCACAAUGGGCGCAAGCCUGAUGCAGCCAUGCCGCGUGUGUGAAGAAGGCCUUCGGGUUGUAAAGCACUUUCAGCGAGGAGGAGGGCAGUCGUGUUAAUAGCACGAUUGAUUGACGUUACUCGCGGAAGAAGCACCGGCUAACUCCGUGCCAGCAGCCGCGGUAAUACGGAGGGUGCAAGCGUUAAUCGGAAUUACUGGGCGUAAAGCGCACGCAGGCGGUUUGUUAAGUCAGAUGUGAAAUCCCCGCGCUUAACGUGGGA
RNAcentral lists this ribosomal RNA (537 nucleotides) under uncultured Yersinia sp. Its description in RNAcentral is "bacterial SSU rRNA". It matches the Rfam family "Bacterial small subunit ribosomal RNA", at positions 86 to 619 of the family's 1533-position model. Lineage: Bacteria; Pseudomonadati; Pseudomonadota; Gammaproteobacteria; Enterobacterales; Yersiniaceae. The record is from RNAcentral.